RNAcentral lists this transfer RNA (56 nucleotides) under Dipodomys ordii (Ord's kangaroo rat). It matches the Rfam family "tRNA", at positions 8 to 63 of the family's 71-position model. From Rfam's summary of the family: Transfer RNA (tRNA) molecules are approximately 80 nucleotides in length. Their secondary structure includes four short double-helical elements and three loops (D, anti-codon, and T loops). Lineage: Eukaryota; Metazoa; Chordata; Mammalia; Rodentia; Heteromyidae. The record is from Rfam by way of RNAcentral.
UGGCUCAGUGGUAGAGCACUUGCCUUGCAUGCCUGAGGCCUUGGUUCGAUUCCGUG